RNAcentral lists this long non-coding RNA (370 nucleotides) under Theropithecus gelada (gelada). RNAcentral describes it as "lncRNA (ENSTGEG00000019394.1)". Lineage: Eukaryota; Metazoa; Chordata; Mammalia; Primates; Cercopithecidae. The record is from RNAcentral.
GUCCAGCAGGGCUGCGGCCAUUGUUUGUGUGGACUGAGUGUAUUGGCCAUAACGGUCCACUCUCACAGGCUCCGUUAAGUGACGUGAACUCUUGGGAGGACUGAGCCAGAAGCAGACAGGGCAAGACGAGCUGUGUUUGAAGGAAGAGGGGCAGAAAAUCGAGGGUCAGGGACUGAGAAGCGACUCCGGUUUAGAAACCCCGGAGACACCGGUGUAGGAACCUACCUGUGAUCAGCAAGGAAAGACUGGGUUGGCAAAGGCUCAUGCCCCCAUUUUACAGCUCAGCCAUCUCAGCACUACCCUUCCCGAGAAGAGGAACACAAAGGAGGAAGGAAUGUACACUGUUUUCCUCAUAGUCUGAUCCCAGGUA